Schistosoma mansoni is the source of this 45-nucleotide non-coding RNA. The record is from Rfam. NCBI's taxonomy places the organism in Eukaryota, Metazoa, Platyhelminthes, Trematoda, Strigeidida, Schistosomatidae.
AUCCAGCUGACGAGUCCCAAAUAGGAAGAAGCGCGCGUCCUGGAU